AGUGAACGCUGGCGGUAGGCCUAACACAUGCAAGUCGAACGGCAGCACAGUAAGAGCUUGCUCUUACGGGUGGCGAGUGGCGGACGGGUGAGGUAUACAUCGGAAUCUACUUUUUCGUGGGGGAUAACGUAGGGAAACUUACGCUAACACCGCAUACGACCUACGGGUGAAAGCAUGGGAUCUUCGGACCUUGCGCGAUUGAAUGAGCCGAUGUCGGAUUAGCUAGUUGGCGGGGUAAUGGCCCACCAAGGCGACGAUUCGUAGCUGGUAUGAGAGGAUGAUCAGCCACACUGGAACUGAGACACGGUCCAGACUCCUACGGGAGGCAGCAGUGGGGAAUAUUGGACAAUGGGCGCAAGCCUGAUCCAGCCAUACCGCGCGGGUGAAGAAGGCCUUCGGGUUUUAAAGCCCUUUUGUUGGGAAAGAAAAGCAGCAGGUUAAUACCCCGCUGUUCUGACGGUACCCAAAGAAUAAGCACCGGCUAACUUCGUG
This 492-nucleotide ribosomal RNA is filed under the name uncultured bacterium. Its description in RNAcentral is "partial 16S ribosomal RNA". It matches the Rfam family "Bacterial small subunit ribosomal RNA", at positions 29 to 507 of the family's 1533-position model. The record is from RNAcentral.